GAACGCUGGCGGCGUGCCUAAUACCUGCAAGUCGAGCGAUCAGACGAGGAGCUUGCUCCUCUGACGUUAGCGGCGGACGGGUGAGUAACACGUGGAUAACCUACCUAUAAGACUGGGAUAACUUCGGGAAACCGGAGCUAAUACCGGAUAAUAUAUUGAACCGCAUGGUUCAAUAGUGAAAGACGGUUUUGCUGUCACUUAUAGAUGGAUCCGCGCCGCAUUAGCUAGUUGGUAAGGUAACGGCUUACCAAGGCAACGAUGCGUAGCCGACCUGAGAGGGUGAUCGGCCACACUGGAACUGAGACACGGUCCAGACUCCUACGGGAGGCAGCAGUAGGGAAUCUUCCGCAAUGGGCGAAAGCUUGACGGAGCAACGCCGCGUGAGUGAUGAAGGUCUUCGGAUCGUAAAACUCUGUUAUUAGGGAAGAACAAAUGUGUAAGUAACUAUGCACGUCUUGACGGUACCUAAUCAGAAAGCCACGGCUAACUACGUG
RNAcentral lists this ribosomal RNA (494 nucleotides) under uncultured bacterium. Its description in RNAcentral is "partial 16S ribosomal RNA". It matches the Rfam family "Bacterial small subunit ribosomal RNA", at positions 31 to 507 of the family's 1533-position model. The record is from RNAcentral.